This is a long non-coding RNA of Chinchilla lanigera (long-tailed chinchilla), 1326 nucleotides long. RefSeq lists it as uncharacterized. The record is from RefSeq and is a predicted model, not a curated record. Lineage: Eukaryota; Metazoa; Chordata; Mammalia; Rodentia; Chinchillidae. The transcript has 4 exons.
CUGCGCGGCUCGCGGGAGGGAGGGUGAGUCAGUGCAACGUCCUCCAGCAGCCGCGUCUCACGCGAUGAUAAGAAUGUGCCAAGCCCCUUCCCCGGGCCCUGGGAGAGGAGAGACCCUCCCGCCCCCGCUGGGUCCCUGGAGACCAGAAUUGCCAAUAUAAGCUUCCCGGCUGCCACGCGCAGCCGGCGGCGGCUCCACUCGCUUGGAGGCGAGGUCCCCAGCUCCAGGUUCGCUGACCUGCACGCGCCCACUGCGGAUUGAACCCCAGAGCAUCCGCCCGCUCUUUAUACGCCGGGCGCACAGACAGCCCCUCCCCAAACACACGGACCCGCACAUUCCCGGAUGGUUACUGGCCUCGUGGUCACUUGAAGAUUGCUCCCAUUUCAAGCUGCAGGGCCACCAGUCUGAGUCACUGCUGUGUCCAGUAUGACCAUCCAGAGACCAGGACUUGACUUCGAGUUAGACUCUAAGACUCUUGGCAAAGAGGAGGCAGCCCUGGACUGAAGACUCAGGAGGCCCCAGCUCAAUGUCUCGGCAGGGUCAAGUGGAGUCGCCUCUCUAGGUCCCAGUUCUCAUUGGUUAUAGUUGUGUCCUUCCCUAAGUAGGGCGGCAGGAGCAGAUGGAGUGAAUUAGUCCUCUGAGAAUGCGGUCCUGGCCUCUCUGGGCUGCCAGCCCUCUCCUGCCUUCUAGGGUUGGCGGGGUGCAUCCUUCUAACCCUGGCCUUGCUCUCAUCCCCUGCUCCACAGGCCCUGGGAAGGUGGCCGCUGAGGCUCUGUAUUUGCCCUCUGCUGCACUGCUCACCACACAGCCCAAGCCCACAUAGGCGGAGAAGUGUGUGUGUGUGUGUGUGUGUGUGUGUAUACAUAUGUACAUGCAACAGAUAUGGGUUGGGAGGCUCUGCUUACACAGGAAUCUUGGGUGUCUCACACCGCCCAAUGGAAGACCCACCCAGCUAGGGAUGAGUUUAGUUCAUCUCACAUACAGCCUUGCGCGAACGCUCUCACACGCACACACACCAGGUGGACAAUGUCCGGCACGAGCACAAACCCAGCCAUGACAUCAGAUGCAAUCAAAUGGACGCCGAUUGGAAUAUGCAUACUUGGCUGGUGGUUUGGCCUGCUAGAGGCCCCCAGUCCCCUCCCCAGCACUGCAAAUAACAAACAGAUCCCAAACAUGACAAAUACGCACGCUCACACACAUGUGUGGCCAUCCCAGACCCACUCAUGCAGACACCAUCCAGGUCCCAGUUUCACACAAACACACGCGACAUCUCGCACGAUCGCACAACUAAACCCUGACUGGGCCAAGCCACUGCCUAGAUCUGAG